RNAcentral lists this ribosomal RNA (235 nucleotides) under uncultured bacterium. Its description in RNAcentral is "partial 16S ribosomal RNA". It matches the Rfam family "Bacterial small subunit ribosomal RNA", at positions 118 to 347 of the family's 1533-position model. The record is from RNAcentral.
UGAGGAACAUGACCUUCGGCGGGGGAUAGCCGGCCCAACGGCCGGGUAAUACCGCGUACGACCACAUGGGGACAUCCCUGAGUGGUGAAAGCAGCAAUGCGCCGAUGGAGUGCCUCGCGGCCUAUCAGCUAGUUGGUGAGGUAACGGCUCACCAAGGCAACGGACGGGUAGCUGGUCUGAGAGGAUGGCCAGCCACAUUGGGACUGAGACACGGCCCAGACCUNUACCGGGGAGG